Molecule: ribosomal RNA, 261 nt
Filed under: uncultured bacterium
Lineage: Bacteria
Description: partial 16S ribosomal RNA
Rfam family: Bacterial small subunit ribosomal RNA
Source: RNAcentral
GUCCACGCCGUAAACGAUGAAUGCUAGCCGUUGGGCAGCUUGCUGUUCAGUGGCGCAGCUAACGCAUUAAGCAUUCCGCCUGGGGAGUACGGCCGCAAGGUUGAAACUCAAAGGAAUUGACGGGGCCCGCACAAGCGGUGGAGCAUGUGGUUUAAUUCGACGCAACGCGCAGAACCUUACCAGGGUUUGACAUCCUGCGACCGCUCCGUAAUGGGAGUUUUCCCGCAAGGGACGCAGAGACAGGUGCUGCAUGGCUGUCGU